Molecule: ribosomal RNA, 218 nt
Filed under: uncultured bacterium
Lineage: Bacteria
Description: partial 16S ribosomal RNA
Rfam family: Bacterial small subunit ribosomal RNA
Source: RNAcentral
CAAUCUCAGUUCGGAUUGUAGGCUGCAACUCGCCUACAUGAAGUUGGAAUCGCUAGUAAUCGCGAAUCAGAAUGUCGCGGUGAAUACGUUCCCGGGUCUUGUACACACCGCCCGUCACACCACGAGAGUUUACAACACCCGAAGUCAGUGGCCUAACCGCAAGGAGGGAGCUGCCUAAGGUGGGGUAGAUGAUUGGGGUGAAGUCGUAACAAGGUAAC